CCUACGGGAGGCAGCAGUGGGGGAUAUUGCACAAUGGGGGAAACCCUGAUGCAGCGACGCCGCGUGGGCGAAGAAGUAUUUCGGUAUGUAAAGCCCUAUCAGCAGGGAAGAAGAAAUGACGGUACCUGAGUAAGAAGCACCGGCUAAAUACGUGCCAGCAGCCGCGGUAAUACGUAUGGUGCAAGCGUUAUCCGGAUUUACUGGGUGGAAAGGGAGCGCAGGCGGCACGGCAAGCCUGAUGUGAAAGCCCGCGGCCCAACCGCGGGACUGCAUUGGGAACUACCGGGCUGGAGUGCCGGAGAGGUAGGCGGAAUUCCUAGUGUAGCGGUGAAAUGCGUAGAGAUUAGGAGGAACACCAGUGGCGAAGGCGGCCUACUGGACGGUGACUGACGCUGAGGCUCGAAAGCGUGGGGAGCAAACAGGAUUAGAUACCCGUGUAGUC
RNAcentral lists this ribosomal RNA (442 nucleotides) under uncultured bacterium. Its description in RNAcentral is "partial 16S ribosomal RNA". It matches the Rfam family "Bacterial small subunit ribosomal RNA", at positions 338 to 795 of the family's 1533-position model. The record is from RNAcentral.